Molecule: ribosomal RNA, 406 nt
Filed under: uncultured bacterium
Lineage: Bacteria
Description: partial 16S ribosomal RNA
Rfam family: Bacterial small subunit ribosomal RNA
Source: RNAcentral
AUUGAACGCUGGCGGCAGGCCUAACACAUGCAAGUCGAGCGAGCGGCGGACGGGUGAGUAAUGUAUGGGAAACUGCCUGAUGGAGGGGGAUAACUACUGGAAACGGUAGCUAAUACCGCAUACCAUCAGAUGAACCCAGAUGGGAUUAGCUUGUAGGUGGGGUAACGGCUCACCUAGGCGACGAUCCCUAGCUGGUCUGAGAGGAUGACCAGCCACAAGUGUACUAGGACACGGUCCAGACUCCGACGGGAGGCAGGAGUGGGGAAUAUUGGACAAUGGGCGCAAGCCUGAUGCAGCCAUGCCGAGUGUAUGAAGAAGGCAUUCGGGUUGUAAAGUACUUUCAGUGGGGAGGCGUUACCCGCAGAAGAAGCACCGGCUAACUCCGUGCCAGCAGCCGCGGUAAUAC